This 243-nucleotide long non-coding RNA is filed under the name Numida meleagris (helmeted guineafowl). RNAcentral describes it as "lncRNA (ENSNMEG00000006878.1)". Lineage: Eukaryota; Metazoa; Chordata; Aves; Galliformes; Numididae. The record is from RNAcentral.
AUGUUUAUUACAGCUGGCAGAGAGGAAAUAAAAGGCCUUGACGUGGUCCAGCUUCCACCUUAUUCCCUGCAGGCAAGCUGGUAUUAUUAUGAAGAGCCGAAGUUUCUCAGCUGCGUAGGCAAGAUUGAAUUUUGCCACACCACAGUGAAGGGCCAGGACCUGCCUGGGGAGUGCUGGGAAUGCCAAGGUCCCAGCUUCAGACAGUUGUCUGCCAUCCGCUUUGGCCAGACACCAAGACGCUAG